Non-coding RNA from Pyronema omphalodes CBS 100304, 83 nucleotides. Lineage: Eukaryota; Fungi; Ascomycota; Pezizomycetes; Pezizales; Pyronemataceae. The record is from Rfam.
GGUCGCAUGGUGUAGUGGUUAUCACGUUUCGUUUACAUUAGCUGAAUCCGAAAAGGUCGCAGGUUCAAGCCCUGCUGCGAUCA